UAAUAAGUGUUUUAUGGCACUCUUUAAAUCCAUAUCCACCUUGUGUGCAAUGUCAGUCGAUCUUCUUCAUGGAGAUCGACCAAACAUCAACCUUUAUUUUUAACUCUUUGUCUGAAAAAUAUUAUGAGUAAACAAUUCAAAAUAC
Molecule: unclassified non-coding RNA, 145 nt
Filed under: soil metagenome
Description: partial internal transcribed spacer 1
Source: RNAcentral